GGAGGGAUCCAGUGGAACCCACUUGGUGACAGAGAGCACAAGAACACAAUAUACUCCCUCACAAAUACACAUAUAGGAAGGAAUUCCUCACAAUUUCCACGGAGAAGAGAACAACCACUCCAUUUUUCCAUUUUUCUUUUCUGAAUAACACAGACCACAUCCAUGAAAUUCAUCACUGUAGUACGUACCAACACACAUAUAUAUCACCAGAAAACACUCACAGUCACCGGAAUCCGACCCUCUCCCAUCAGUUUAGUUGCCAUCUGAGCUCUGGAGUUCCAGCCAUACGUCCUUUUCUUGGUUUUUGUGACAAAUUCAGAUAUUUGUUGGUUCACUGCUCUUGGCAGAAUUUUGUUCGUGUAUUGUUUGUUCUGCGCUAUUUUAUCUUGGGGUCAUUGGAAGACGGUCAAAGGGAUGCAUACCGGAGCUGGGGGUUCGAGUUGAAGUUCCAAAUCAAGGUUCUUCGGCAUACGGAUUCAUACUCUCGAUUGACUGAUAUUCGGAGUAAAAUCAUCAUUGAGGUCCAUUUCUAUUCCUUUUCUCUUUUUAUUUCAUUGUUGAAGGAAUAUGGUUCAUUGGAUGGAAUCUAUGUGUUGUUUGAUCUUGAUUAGUGAUUAAUUGCUACUUUGAUAUUCACUUGUUGCUUAGUUUCAUUGAAAUAGAAAUCGUGAAUUGAGGAAAAUUAGCGUUAAAAGGGAAUUUGGGGUGUGAGAAUUGAAAACUUGAUAUAAUUGGUGAAUUUUGAUUAGUUUGAUUCAUGGGUUGUUUGACUCGAAAUGAACGUUAAUUGAACUUGGUAGUAUCAUGAUACGUCAAUUGGUUUAGGCAAACAUAGAUUGGGUGGCAAACAUAUCAGUAAAAGGUGAAUGUUAUGGUAUUUUGAUUCAUUGUUGAUGGCGAACAUUAAUAGUAUCAUGUUUUAGAUCGAGAAUUGAUAGGCAAAUCGUAGGUUCGGGUAGACAAAUUUAGGAAUAAUGUUUGGUUGAAUGCUUGAAAUCCGUGUUGAAUGGCUUGGUAUGUUCACUUUUUGGAUCAAAUGUAUCAUUUGGCCAGGGAAUGCCCCGAGGGAUUUGUAUUGAUUUAUCCGGGGAAUGCCCUGAAGUAUUUUGUUGGCGGCAGAAGUUCGUGAUGAAGGCCCGAGGCGUCGGUUAAAGCACGGGAACGUAGUUAGGAUUAGUAUAGGUUAGAUAGGAUUUAUUUUCGCAUUUUUUAUUUUGGGACUGUAUAACUCGGACUGGACUUUAUUUUGGUUUUGAACUCUGUUUGAUUUGUUGGUUGCUUGUUUUACGUGUUUUUGUGUGGUUUAUACAUUUGUGAUGUGAAAUUAGCUGAUAUGCUCCGCCAAGCGACCAUGAUCGAACCACGGGAUCGAGGGGUGCCUAACACCUUCCCCUCGGUCAACAGAAUUCCUUAGCCGGAAUCUCUAUUCGCAAAUCAGUUGAAAGAGUCAAAUUGUUUUGAAAAGGAACUUUUAAAGGUGACUUGGCACACUGGAUUAUGUCAAGUGGCGACUCUGAAUAAAAAAUUUAAAUAAUCUUUUUUUGAAACAAAUUUUCAAUCUUUUGUCACUUUAAUAAUAAAAAUCCUUUCGACCCUUAAAAUAAUAAUCUUUUUUUUGUUGAAAAAAG
RNAcentral lists this long non-coding RNA (1628 nucleotides) under Capsicum annuum. RNAcentral's name for it is "long non-coding RNA (CANN_LNC018345)". Lineage: Eukaryota; Viridiplantae; Streptophyta; Magnoliopsida; Solanales; Solanaceae. The record is from RNAcentral.